RNAcentral lists this ribosomal RNA (468 nucleotides) under uncultured bacterium. Its description in RNAcentral is "partial 16S ribosomal RNA". It matches the Rfam family "Bacterial small subunit ribosomal RNA", at positions 28 to 507 of the family's 1533-position model. The record is from RNAcentral.
GACGAACGCUGGCGGCGUGCUUAACACAUGCAAGUCGAACGGAAAGGCCCUGCUUUUGUGGGGUGCUCGAGUGGCGAACGGGUGAGUAACACGUGAGUAACCUGCCCUUGACUUUGGGAUAACUUCAGGAAACUGGGGCUAAUACCGGAUAUGAGCUCCUGCUGCAUGGUGGGGGUUGGAAAGUUUCGGCGGUUGGGGUUGGACUCGCGGCUUAUCAGCUUGUUGGUGGGGUAGUGGCUUACCAAGGCUUUGACGGGUAGCCGGCCUGAGAGGGUGACCGGCGACAUUGGGACUGAGAUAAGGCCCAGACGCCUACGGGAGGCAGCAGUGGUGAAUAUUGCACAAUGGGCGGAAGCCUGAGGCAGCAACGCCGCGUGCGGGAUGACGGCCUUCUGGUUGUAAACCGCUUUCGCCUGUGACGAAGCGGGAGUGACGGUAAUGGGUAAAGAAGCACCGGCUAACUACGUG